Molecule: ribosomal RNA, 251 nt
Filed under: uncultured Gemella sp.
Lineage: Bacteria; Bacillati; Bacillota; Bacilli; Caryophanales; Gemellaceae
Description: partial 16S ribosomal RNA
Rfam family: Bacterial small subunit ribosomal RNA
Source: RNAcentral
UAACACGUAAAGAACCUACCUUAUAGACAGGGACAACUAUUGGAAACGAUAGCUAAUACCUGAUAAGAAAGAAACUCGCAUUANAGAAAUCGAAAGUCGGAGCAAUCUGACACUAUAAGAUGGCUUUGCGGUGCAUUAGCUAGUUGGUAGGGUAAAAGCCUACCAAGGCGACGAUGCAUAGCCGACCUGAGAGGGUGAUCGGCCACAUUGGGACUGAGACACGGCCCAGACUCCUACGGGAGGCAGCAGGC